CCCCCGCUACAGCAGCCUAUGAAACGUGCCUCCGAAAGCGCACGCGGGUGGCCAGCUCUUAAACAGGCGGCUAUGUGGAGAUGUCCCGGUGCGUCGUCGUCCGAACGCUGGACUACAAGUGACGCUUUGAGCAGCACUGUUGCUCCUCUGUCGCUUCACCUCUCUGCAGCAAAGCGGACUAGAAAUGGUCCUAUGCUCAACUCACCGGCAGCGUUCAGAGGUUAGACUCUCAGUCAUCAGAGGGUCAGAGGCACAGACACAUCAUCCACCCUCCUCCUGGCUUGGAAGAGUCGCCCGUCUGCCUACAUUCAUCUAAACAGCAGAGAAGACAGACAGGGAGCGUACGCUGUAGUUGUGCUGCCUGUGUGUGUGUGUGUGUGUGUGUGUGUGUGUGUGUGUGUGUGUGUGUGUGUGUGUCAGCGCUUCAGUGCCUUUAGUGUUUCCCCAAGUCAUUCACUCUCUGUGGGUGUGUAUGGAUGCAGUGAUGUGUGGUUGUGCCGAGGUGGGCAGUUAAGAGGAAGACGGGACCUAUUCAAAUCAGCAAAACGCAAUCAAGCACGUG
Molecule: long non-coding RNA, 562 nt
Organism: Archocentrus centrarchus (flier cichlid)
Lineage: Eukaryota; Metazoa; Chordata; Actinopteri; Cichliformes; Cichlidae
Exons: 3
Source: RefSeq, a predicted model, not a curated record